Molecule: small RNA, 553 nt
Filed under: Pongo abelii (Sumatran orangutan)
Lineage: Eukaryota; Metazoa; Chordata; Mammalia; Primates; Hominidae
Description: processed transcript
Source: RNAcentral
AGUAAAUUGGCUGCAGGAUUGGAAGAAGUCCAAGGACAGUGUGGGAUGCCACCCUGUAGCUGUCUAGAGACCUAGUGAAGCGAGGAUGCCAUGAGGAAAGCUGGUGUGGCACACAGUAAAUCCAGCAAGGAUAUGGAGAGCCAUGUUUUCCUGAAGGCCAAGACCCGGAUCCUAUGAAUGCACUCCAGAGCCUGACUGGCGGACCCGCCGCGGGAGCCGCCGGAAUUGGCAUGCCUCCUCGGGGCCCGGGACAGUCUCUGGGCGGGAUGGGUAGCCUUGGUGCCAUGGGACAGCCAAUGUCUCUCUCAGGGCAGCCGCCUCCUGGGACCUCGGGCAUGGCCCCUCACAGCAUGGCUGUCGUGUCUACGGCAACUCCACAGACCCAGCUGCAGCUCCAGCAGGUGGCGCUGCAGCAGCAGCAGCAACAGCAGCAGUUCCAGCAGCAGCAGCAGGCGGCGCUACAGCAGCAGCAACAGCAGCAACAGCAGCAGUUCCAGGCUCAGCAGAGUGCCAUGCAGCAGCAGUUCCAAGCAGUAGUGCAGCAGCAGCAGCA